Papaver somniferum (opium poppy) is the source of this 1548-nucleotide long non-coding RNA. RefSeq lists it as uncharacterized. NCBI's taxonomy places the organism in Eukaryota, Viridiplantae, Streptophyta, Magnoliopsida, Ranunculales, Papaveraceae. The transcript has 8 exons. The record is from RefSeq and is a predicted model, not a curated record.
UCUUAUUAAGCUCUUUAGGUUCUUUGAUUAUUGUGUAUUACAUUUGAAUAUCAAAAUCUGGUUUUGUUUCGGAUUGAUUGAUGAAAUUUCCACUUUUUGAUUAGUGGGUUUUGUUUAUUUCAUCUUCUUAUGGUGGAUUACAGUGGAAAAGAUGCAGAAUUAGAAGGAUGUUUUUAUUCUGUCUUGUAAUCUAUAUUCAAAAGGAAUCAUCUGUUUUGAGGCCUUUAAAGAGUGAUGUUUGGAGACGGAUACAUGUCAAAGAACUUGUGGAGUUCCUAAAAAUGACUAAAUGAAGAACUUGUGGAGUUGAACAGGAAAGUUCAUCAUAUAGCUAGAAGUAGUUAAACAUUUAUCUCCCAACUGCCAAAGAUUGGUGGUACCACUAGUAAUGGACCUCGGCAAGAGGAACUAGCGAGUUUCUCAACACCUUGGGGUUAAAGCAUGGGAGUGAAGAAAGAACCUUUGUCAGAGGCAUUUGUAGCUCGCAUGCAAGCAAAGCUAUGAACGUGUAAGCAUGUUUAAGCUUCUUUGAAGAUGGAGAAGUGGAGAAGAUCUGCUGAGGUGAUUCUGAGGGAAUCACAGACAUGGCUACACAUGUGAGACUCCUGUAUCAAAUAGGAAUCAUCUGUUUUGAGGCCUUUAGAGAGUGACAUGGUUUAAAAAGGCGCUUUUGGGGCGAGCUUUUGGUCGCUUUUUUGCGCUUCAGGUCCUAGGCGCUUCUAGAGCGCCGCUUUACGAAUCUGUUUAUAUUAGGCAGUGAAAAGUCGGCCUUUGAAGCCCAGUAGGGCCUAUUUCACGUUUUCUAACUAAAUACUAAUAAACCUAAUUUAUAGGGCAUGAUGAUCAUGAUGACGAUGACUAUCUACAUGAUGAUAUGAAUGACGCAGACAUUCGUGGCUAGUAUAUUUAAAUAGCUCUUGGGUAGAAUAUAUGCUUAGUUAGUCGAAUUGUUCCUUUCAUUAUGUCUGAACUUCAUAGUUUUCUUUUAUUAGGUUGAUAACUUCUUAUUUAUAUAUAUUAUUAUAUAUUUCAAAAAGCUCGCUUCCGCUUUACGCUUUUGCAGCGCUUUACGCUUUGGUAUGAGUGCGCUUCGCCCCACGCUUUCGCUUUUUAAAACAUGUCAAAGAACUUGUCGACUAUGUAAAAAUUAAGCCCAACUUCAGAAAGACAGGCGCACUUUGCUGAACAGGAAAGUAUUUUCUGCUGAUGGAAUGGACCAAGAGCUCUUCCUCUGUCCUAGGAUGAUGUGGCUAGCAAUAAAACCUUGGUUGGAUGGAAGGGAGAAUGAACCUCUGGUAAAGGCAUUUCUAGCUCGCACGCUGGCGAAGUUAGAAAAGUGCAAGCACGCUUCAGCUUCUUUGAUAAUGAAGGUCAGUUAAUGUAAAAUUGUAAACCCGAAAGCAAUUGUACUAUAGUGGUAGUAGUUAGUAAUCUUUGUUAUGAGUAGAAGCACAAAAUACAAGAACUGCUUAUGCUUCAAGAAAAAUAAUCAGUAUAAUUGAGUUUUUGAUGAUCUCAUUAUAUUCUGUAAGUCACGCCUAUAGUUAU